RNAcentral lists this ribosomal RNA (497 nucleotides) under uncultured bacterium. RNAcentral describes it as "partial 16S ribosomal RNA". It matches the Rfam family "Bacterial small subunit ribosomal RNA", at positions 28 to 507 of the family's 1533-position model. The record is from RNAcentral.
GAUGAACGCUGGCGGCGUGCCUAAUACAUGCAAGUCGAGCGAACGGACGAGAAGCUUGCUUCUCUGAUGUUAGCGGCGGACGGGUGAGUAACACGUGGAUAACCUACCUAUAAGACUGGGAUAACUUCGGGAAACCGGAGCUAAUACUGGAUAAUAUUUUGAACCGCAUGGUUCAAAAGUGAAAGACGGUCUUGCUGUCACUUAUAGAUGGAUCCGCGCUGCAUUAGCUAGUUGGUAAGGUAACGGCUUACCAAGGCAACGAUGCAUAGCCGACCUGAGAGGGUGAUCGGCCACACUGGAACUGAGACACGGUCCAGACUCCUACGGGAGGCAGCAGUAGGGAAUCUUCCGCAAUGGGCGAAAGCCUGACGGAGCAACGCCGCGUGAGUGAUGAAGGUCUUCGGAUCGUAAAACUCUGUUAUUAGGGAAGAACAUAUGUGUAAGUAACUGUGCACAUCUUGACGUUACCUAAUCAGAAAGCCACGGCUAACUACGUG